This 559-nucleotide long non-coding RNA is filed under the name Calidris pygmaea (Spoon-billed sandpiper). RNAcentral's name for it is "lncRNA (ENSCPGG00000018069.1)". The record is from RNAcentral. Lineage: Eukaryota; Metazoa; Chordata; Aves; Charadriiformes; Scolopacidae.
CCCUCGCCCUGCCAUUGGCUGAGCCGCCCCUCUUCUCCUUUGCCAUUGGCGCUCACGGCCAAUCCUUCUCUUUUUAGGUUCCGCCCCCCGCUUCCUGCCCCCGGCUUCCUGUGGCGUCUUCCGGGUAGCGCCGCGCCCCCGGCGCGGGAGAGGCUCGUGGAGGGUAAGAACUGGUCUGUCCAUUUUGGAAGCAAUUAGAAGAUUGCUGUUUCUCCCAGCCAUGGCGAACGGCUUCAGGCAAGAGCUAAGAGCUCUGUGGAAUUGCUUCAGUGGAGCUGAUGCUUGCUGAAUGUUUCGGGCUACCAAGGAAGAGAAAAGCCUGAGGAUGGAGGUGGCCCUUUGCUGGCCCAUCGAGCUGUGGUCUGGGAAGAUGCCUGGUCAGUUGUUAGUCCAGCUACCAAAUUAGUGAUGGUCAGAUUGUGCAGCAAACAGCAGCUCGCCUGGGAAAUCUUGAAUGUCAGGAGUAAGUAGUAGCCACAUCUUUUAUAGUUACUUUAUUUGCAGAUGUUUAAUAGCUCCUGCUGAUGUUGGGUUAUGUGCCUGGGCAGCCAUGGGCAGC